AAAAAAAACAGUCAACAAAAGUCUUAAUUAAGAAAUUAAGUUGCUGGAAGGGUGGGAGAAGAUUGGAAGAAAAGGUUCUCACAUGGAUAAACAGCUGUUUAACAAGAAAGAAAAGGUACAAACACAUGGUCUCAUUGCAGGCAGGUGUAGUGCUCAGGUUCAUGCCCUUCAACACAGCCACAACUGAUCUGGAGGUGGGAGUAAAUAAGCAAAGCGAUAAAGGUGGUUGCUGAUACUGAAUUACUGAAAGUUUUAAAUAAACAAACUGCAGAGAGCUCCAGAUGGACCUCAUGACACUGGUGACCUCAGGACUGACUGGUGAAAAAGUGACAGAUGAAAUUCAGCAUUGAUAAGUUUUGCAAUUAAUAUGAAAGAAAGUCUUCAACAGCAUACACAGUGAGUGACUUUUAACUGUCCACCAGCAGACAGGAAAGAUCACUGAUUUAAUACAAAUAGUAAUAAAAAUGUCAACUCAGUGAUUAAAAAUACACAAACACACAGACACACACACACACACACAAAAAAAAAAAAACAGAAGUCAUUAAGGUACAGAGAACAACAGAAUUGCUAUCCCACCAUAUAGACCAUUGCAUGUUUGCACAUUCACCUUCUGAAAACCUGCAACUGGAAAGUACCUUCCUGAUUUCCCCUAACUUGAAAGGACAGAGCAGAACAAGAAAAGGUUCAAACUAGAGCAGUGAAGACAACCAAACUUCUGGAAUGGUUUCUGCACAUAGGACAAUGAAAAGAGCUGCAAUUCUGACCAGAGAAAGGCCAUCAAGAAGGCCUAUGAAACCGUAAGAGACAUGACAAAGGCUUUCCAGAAACACCGGGCAGAUGGCAUCGGAGGGGACCACCGAGACCCCUGCUCCGGCAGGGCCGCCCCGAGCAGGGCACCCAGGUGGCUUCCAGGGUCUCGGAGGAGGGGAGCCCAGAGGCCACGGAGGUGGCAGGCAGCUGGGGGCCGGUGGCUCUUAAUUCUUGGGUGCUGAAGGGUAGAGAGACGGAGGUUUCAGUGGGCUCCCAGCAGGCAGCUGGUCCCUUGCCUUGCAAGGCGUUACCUCAGGGUGCUGGGCAGCCUGCACGGCCUGCUGCAGCCUUCACCCCAGGGCUGCGAGGCUGCUGUUAACAUACCGAGCAGCGUCCCUCUUCACACACAAAACUACAGAACUACACCUGCAAAGAUGUAAACUGUGAAAUUAAAAAGUAACCGCCGCUUGGUGUCGUUUGUGUUUUGCAUGCUAACAUAAUAAAUGAGAAGAGAAUUCAGAAGAAAAAAAAAAA
RNAcentral lists this long non-coding RNA (1284 nucleotides) under Anser cygnoides (Swan goose). RNAcentral describes it as "lncRNA (ENSACDG00005017506.1)". Lineage: Eukaryota; Metazoa; Chordata; Aves; Anseriformes; Anatidae. The record is from RNAcentral.